UUAGUUACGGCGAGUGAAGCGGCAAAAGCUCAAAUUUGAAAUCUGGUACCUUCGGUGCCCGAGUUGUAAUUUGGAGAGGGCAACUUUGGGGCCGUUCCUUGUCUAUGUUCCUUGGAACAGGACGUCAUAGAGGGUGAGAAUCCCGUGUGGCGAGGAGUGCGGUUCUUUGUAAAGUGCCUUCGAAGAGUCGAGUUGUUUGGGAAUGCAGCUCUAAGUGGGUGGUAAAUUCCAUCUAAAGCUAAAUAUUGGCGAGAGACCGAUAGCGAACAAGUACAGUGAUGGAAAGAUGAAAAGAACUUUGAAAAGAGAGUGAAAAAGUACGUGAAAUUGUUGAAAGGGAAGGGCAUUUGAUCAGACAUGGUGUUUUGUGCCCUCUGCUCCUUGUGGGUAGGGGAAUCUCGCAUUUCACUGGGCCAGCAUCAGUUUUGGUGGCAGGAUAAAUCCAUAGGAAUGUAGCUUGCCUCGGUAAGUAUUAUAGCCUGUGGGAAUACUGCCAGCUGGGACUGAGGACUGCGACGUAAGUCAAGGAUGCUGGCAUAA
Molecule: ribosomal RNA, 540 nt
Filed under: Saccharomyces cerevisiae (brewer's yeast)
Lineage: Eukaryota; Fungi; Ascomycota; Saccharomycetes; Saccharomycetales; Saccharomycetaceae
Description: eukaryotic LSU rRNA
Rfam family: Eukaryotic large subunit ribosomal RNA
Source: RNAcentral